AGCUGGACUCACCUUACAGCAUCAGCUCCUCUCACGGGCCCCGUGUUAACGCAGACAGAUCAAUCUGCAAAAUUGAUUACGACGAAAAGUUGAGGACUUUUCUCUUCAGAGUCUGCUCUGCUCAUGAAACAGAUGACGCCGACAUCAUGUCGAGCUGCAGCACGACACAGUGAGAGGUCUGUUUUUGUCUUUGGUUAUCUAGCUGUAUGAGUGUUAAAUUCCUGUCAUAAAGCUAGAUAACCGAAAGUAGAAAUGACUUCCAUAACCCUGCAUUCAUUAAAAGGGACACCUCAGGCUUUGAACGCGGAUUUUUGACUUCCACCUGUCAAAGGCACCCGGUUAACGACAGGGGCUUUCUUGAAAAGAGGAUAGCCAUCAUUAAAAGAAAACAUGGCGGGAGGGUUGGAACGCUUCGUCCGGAUUUGCCACCUCCUCCUCCUCCUCUCCCCUCCCCCUACUCCUCAACCCUUUAUGCCCAAGAGCCUCUAAUGCCAUCUGCACUGCCAACUGGGGGACGCCCUGCCCGUGCCAGGAGGUGGACAAAGACCCUGCCAUAUCCUGCGAGUAUGAGCGCGCUCAGAGGAGCCAUCUUGGGAUAGUUGUUGCCGCGACACCUAAAAUGGCUGGGCCUGGCAUAGGAGGAUGGGACAGGAUCUGCAGGCCCCUCUUGAAGGAAGAGACACGAGGAGAUCAUGGACCGGAUUCGCCAAAACGAGUCACUUGAGCUUAAACCUGGGAGAUUGAUUAGUCAUCACAGAUAGAGAAAUCUUAUGUUAAAGGACUGUCGGAAAAAAAGAUACUAUGUAACCCUGUAAUGCAUAAUAACCUACACUUUUAUAAAUUAUUUAAUUUAAAGAUCCUGUUAUAUGUGACUAGAUAUUUCUAAUACAAGUGUAAUAUUUUUCAAAUUAAAUCUAAUUACCUUUCUUGCCUUUAUAGGUUAUACAUAUUUUAAUUAAAAUGUUUUGUUCAUAAUGAUUAAACCGAAUUCAUAUCUAUCUAUUUUAAGAUAAAUUUUUUAAAGUUCACUGCUGUCAA
Non-coding RNA from Labrus bergylta (ballan wrasse), 1038 nucleotides. The record is from RefSeq and is a predicted model, not a curated record. Lineage: Eukaryota; Metazoa; Chordata; Actinopteri; Labriformes; Labridae.